UGCGUAGGCGGAAUAUUAAGUCAGUGGUGAAAUCCUGCGGCUCAACCGUAGAACUGCCAUUGAUACUGAUAUUCUUGAAUGUAGUUGAGGUAGGCGGAAUGUGUAAUGUAGCGGUGAAAUGCUUAGAUAUUACACAGAACACCGAUUGCGAAGGCAGCUUAUUAAACUAUGAUUGACGCUGAGGCACGAAAGCGUGGGGAGCGAACAGGAUUAGAUACCCUGGUAGUCC
Molecule: ribosomal RNA, 229 nt
Filed under: uncultured bacterium
Lineage: Bacteria
Description: partial 16S ribosomal RNA
Rfam family: Bacterial small subunit ribosomal RNA
Source: RNAcentral